GAUGAACGCUGGCGGCGUGCCUAAUACAUGCAAGUCGAGCGAACAGACGAGGAGCUUGCUCCUCUGACGUUAGCGGCGGACGGGUGAGUAACACGUGGAUAACCUACCUAUAAGACUGGGAUAACUUCGGGAAACCGGAGCUAAUACCGGAUAACAUGUUGAACCGCAUGGUUUAACAGUGAAAGACGGUCUUGCUGUCACUUAUAGAUGGAUCCGCGCCGCAUUAGCUAGUUGGUAAGGUAACGGCUUACCAAGGCAACGAUGCGUAGCCGACCUGAGAGGGUGAUCGGCCACACUGGAACUGAGACACGGUCCAGACUCCUACGGGAGGCAGCAGUAGGGAAUCUUCCGCAAUGGGCGAAAGCCUGACGGAGCAACGCCGCGUGAGUGAAGAAGGUCUUCGGAUCGUAAAACUCUGUUAUUAGGGAAGAACAAAUGUGUAAGUAACUAUGCACGUCUUGACGGUACCUAAUCAGAAAGCCACGGCUAACUACGUA
This 497-nucleotide ribosomal RNA is filed under the name uncultured bacterium. RNAcentral describes it as "partial 16S ribosomal RNA". It matches the Rfam family "Bacterial small subunit ribosomal RNA", at positions 28 to 507 of the family's 1533-position model. The record is from RNAcentral.